UGAGGAAUUUUGGUCAAUGGACGCAAGUCUGAACCAGCCAAGCAGCGUGCAGGAUGACGGCCCUAUGGGUUGUAACCUGCUUUUAUAUGGGGAUAAAGUGGGGAACGUGUUCCCUUUUGCAGGUACCAUAUGAAUAAGGACCGGCUAAUUCCGUGCCAGCAGCCGCGGUAAUACGGAAGGUUCGGGCGUUAUCCGGAUUUAUUGGGUUUAAAGGGAGCGUAGGCCGUUUGGUAAGCGUGUUGUGAAAUGUAGGAGCUCAACUUCUAGAUUGCAGCGCGAACUGUCAGACUUGAGUGCGCACAACGUAGGCGGAAUUCAUGGUGUAGCGGUGAAAUGCUUAGAUAUCAUGAAGAACUCCGAUUGCGAAGGCAGCUUACGGGAGCGCAACUGACGCUGAAGCUCGAAGGUGCGGGUAUCGAACAGG
Molecule: ribosomal RNA, 424 nt
Filed under: Verrucomicrobiota bacterium
Lineage: Bacteria; Pseudomonadati; Verrucomicrobiota
Description: Verrucomicrobia bacterium partial 16S ribosomal RNA
Rfam family: Bacterial small subunit ribosomal RNA
Source: RNAcentral